GUGAGGAAUAUUGCGCAAUGGAGGCAACUCUGACGCAGCCAUGCCGCGUGCAGGAAGAAGGCGCUACGCGUUGUAAACUGCUUUUAACCGGGAAGAAACCCCAGGACGUGUACUGGGUUGACGGUACCGGAGGAAUAAGCACCGGCUAACUUCGUGCCAGCAGCCGCGGUAAUACGAAGGGUGCAAGCGUUAUCCGGAUUCAUUGGGUUUACAGGGUGCGUAGGCGGAGCGUUAAGUCAGUGGUGAAAUCCUGCAGCUUAACUGUAGACUUGCCAUUGAUACUGGCGCUCUUGAGUGCGCUUGAAGUGGGCGGAAUGUGCCGUGUAGCGGUGAAAUGCUUAGAUAUGGCACAGAACACCAAUUGCGAAGGCAGCUCACUAAGGCGAUACUGACGCUGAGGCACGAAAGCGUGGGGAUCGAACAGGAUUAGAUACCCUUGUAGUCC
RNAcentral lists this ribosomal RNA (445 nucleotides) under uncultured bacterium. RNAcentral describes it as "partial 16S ribosomal RNA". It matches the Rfam family "Bacterial small subunit ribosomal RNA", at positions 354 to 796 of the family's 1533-position model. The record is from RNAcentral.